GAUGAAGAACGCAGCGAAAUGCGAUACGUAAUGUGAAUUGCAGAAUUCAGUGAAUCAUCGAAUCUUUGAACGCACCUUGCACCCUUUGGCAUUCCGAAGGGUAUGCUCGUUUGAGUGUCAUUGUACUCUCACACUCUCCGAUCCUAUGGAUUCGGGGAGCGGUGGACUUGGGUGUUGCUGCCUUUCCCUGUGGCUCACCUCAAAUGCGUCAGUGCACCUCUUGGUUGGACAUAGUACGGCGUGAUAAGUGUCUUCGCCGGCACCUCGCAAGAGGGUGGCCGAUCGGGAGCUCUGCGCUUUCAAACCGUCUUCGGACAAUUUCUGACAUCUUGACCUCAAAUCGAGUAGGACUACCCGCUGAACUUAAGCAUAUCAUAAGCGGAGGA
RNAcentral lists this unclassified non-coding RNA (386 nucleotides) under soil metagenome. RNAcentral's name for it is "partial contains 5.8S ribosomal RNA, internal transcribed spacer 2, and large subunit ribosomal RNA". The stretch from base 1 to 120 matches the Rfam family "5.8S ribosomal RNA", at positions 35 to 154 of the family's 154-position model. The record is from RNAcentral.